AUUGAACGCUGGCGGAAUGCUUUACACAUGCAAGUCGAACGGCAGCACGGGUGCUUGCACCUGGUGGCGAGUGGCGAACGGGUGAGUAAUGCACCGGAACGUAUCCAAUAAUGGGGGAUAACGCACCGAAAGGUGUGCUAAUACCGCAUACGCCCUGAGGGGGAAAGCGGGGGAUCGUAAGACCUCGCGUUAAUGGAGCGGCCGAUGCCGGAUUAGCUAGUUGGUGGGAUAAAAGCUUACCAAGCCGACGAUCUGUAGCUGGUCUGAGAGGACGACCAGCCACACUGGGACUGAGACACGGCCCAGACUCCUACGGGAGGCAGCAGUGGGGAAUUUUGGACAAUGGGCGCAAGCCUGAUCCAGCCAUGCCGCGUGCAGGAUGAAGGCCUCGGUUGU
RNAcentral lists this ribosomal RNA (396 nucleotides) under uncultured bacterium. RNAcentral describes it as "bacterial SSU rRNA". It matches the Rfam family "Bacterial small subunit ribosomal RNA", at positions 30 to 426 of the family's 1533-position model. The record is from RNAcentral.